Molecule: small RNA, 131 nt
Filed under: Phytobacter sp.
Lineage: Bacteria; Pseudomonadati; Pseudomonadota; Gammaproteobacteria; Enterobacterales; Enterobacteriaceae
Description: RtT sRNA
Rfam family: RtT RNA
About the family: This family represents a bacterial cis-regulatory element known as RtT RNA. The exact function of RtT is unknown although it is thought that it may be involved in changing the cellular response in relation to amino acid starvation.
Source: RNAcentral
AUCCUCCCCAUGCAGGGAAGGAUGAGAAGCUUCGACUAAGGUUCGAUUCGAGCGUAGCGAGAAAGCGUUGCCGCAGGCAACGACCCGAAGGGCGAGGAGCAGCGCGACGAGUAAUCCUUCCCCCACCACCA